RNAcentral lists this ribosomal RNA (497 nucleotides) under uncultured bacterium. RNAcentral's name for it is "partial 16S ribosomal RNA". It matches the Rfam family "Bacterial small subunit ribosomal RNA", at positions 28 to 507 of the family's 1533-position model. The record is from RNAcentral.
GAUGAACGCUGGCGGCGUGCCUAAUACAUGCAAGUCGAGCGAACAGACGAGGAGCUUGCUCCUCUGACGUUAGCGGCGGACGGGUGAGUAACACGUGGAUAACCUACCUAUAAGACUGGGAUAACUUCGGGAAACCGGAGCUAAUACCGGAUAACAUGUUGAACCGCAUGGUUCAACAGUGAAAGACGGUCUUGCCGUCACCUAUAGAUGGAUCCGCGCCGCAUUAGCUAGUUGGUAAGGUAACGGCUUACCAAGGCAACGAUGCGUAGCCGACCUGAGAGGGUGAUCGGCCACACUGGAACUGAGACACGGUCCAGACUCCUACGGGAGGCAGCAGUAGGGAAUCUUCCGCAAUGGGCGAAAGCCUGACGGAGCAACGCCGCGUGAGUGAUGAAGGUCUUCGGAUCGUAAAACUCUGUUAUUAGGGAAGAACAAAUGUGUAAGUAACUAUGCACGUCUUGACGGUACCUAAUCAGAAAGCCACGGCUAACUACGUG